GGGAUGAACGCUGGCGGCGUGCUUAACACAUGCAAGUCGAACGAUGAACCUCACUUGUGGGGGGAUUAGUGGCGAACGGGUGAGUAACACGUGAGUAACCUGCCCUUAACUCUGGGAUAAGCCUGGGAAACUGGGUCUAAUACCGGAUAUGACUCCUCAUCGCAUGGUGGGGGGUGAAAGCUUUUUUGUGGUUUUGGAUGGACUCGCGGCCUAUCAGCUUGUUGGUGAGGUAAUGGCUCACCAAGGCGACGACGGGUAGCCGGCCUGAGAGGGUGACCGGCCACACUGGGACUGAGACACGGCCCAGACUCCUACGGGAGCAGCAGUGGGAAUAUGCACAAUGGGCGCAAGCCUGAUGCAGCGACGCCGCGUGAGGAUGGACGGUCCGUUCGGGUUAGUAACCGUUCGUUUACGGUAGGGAAGAAGGACGAAAGUCGACGGUACCGUGACGAAGAAGAAGCCGCCGGACUAACCGUACGUCGCC
RNAcentral lists this ribosomal RNA (484 nucleotides) under uncultured soil bacterium. RNAcentral describes it as "bacterial SSU rRNA". It matches the Rfam family "Bacterial small subunit ribosomal RNA", at positions 27 to 516 of the family's 1533-position model. The record is from RNAcentral.